UAUAAAUCACCAAAUGUGGGAGAUUCAUCAGAGGGGAAUUCUAAACAAGAGCUCUGGAAACAUGAUAAAGUGGGCAAAUGGACCGCAGCCAUAACCAUGUCAGCCGAACAAAGAGACCACUUAAAUAUCGUGCUUUAUGAGACCACCUCCUCAGCCCGCUGUGGCUUAUAUUUCUCAUCAAGAUAAAGAAUAUCCUUCAGGCCGCAUUUCGCGAAUCUGUUUCAAAGGCAUUAAUGCUGGCAUUGUUUGGACUAUUUAACAAAAACUUGCAGGUUCUCUGCUUUUCUCAGAAUUCUGCAGGGAUGGAGAGAAGCGAGUCCUCUGUGAUUUCUGCCUGUUUCAUCACGUGUUUAGCGUUCGCAGGCUUGGUGGGAAUGGGGAAGGCCUGGUUGGCGCCAGAAAAGUGUAGGAGACUUCCAUGUGACAAAGUCACUUUUGAUGCCACUGUUUAUGAAUCUUGUGUUGAGCCGUUCACUCAGACCAUGGCAAACACUGACUACAAACUCAGAUGUCCCUGGCCAAGCACUAGAAGAUAUUCAGAAGUGUGCAACGCAUUUUAUGGAGGACUGUUUCCUGGUCCUGGGAGAGAAGACUACAAUGCCGG
This is a long non-coding RNA of Cyprinus carpio carpio, 604 nucleotides long. Lineage: Eukaryota; Metazoa; Chordata; Actinopteri; Cypriniformes; Cyprinidae. The record is from Ensembl.